CCUACGGGAGGCUGCAGUGGGGAAUAUUUGGCAAUGGACGCAAGUCUGACCCAGCAACGCCGCGUGAAGGAAGAAGGCUUUCGGGUUGUAAACUUCUUUUACGGGGGAAGAGCAGAAGACGGUACCCCUUGAAUAAGCCACGGCUAACUACGUGCCAACAGCCGCGGUAAUACGUAGGGGGCAAGCGUUGUCCGGAUUUACGGGGUGUAAAGGGCGUGUAGGCGGAGAGACAAGUCAGCUGUGAAAUCACAGGGCUCAACCCGUGAACUGCAUUUGAAACUGUUUACCUUGAGUGUCGGAGAGGUAAGCGGAAUUCCUUGUGUAGCGGUGAAAUGCGUAGAUAUAAGGAAGAACACCAGUGGCGAAGGCGGAUUACUGGACGAUAACUGACGGUGAGGCGCGAAAGCGUGGGGAGCAAACAGGAUUAGAUACCCCGGUAGUC
This 442-nucleotide ribosomal RNA is filed under the name uncultured bacterium. RNAcentral describes it as "partial 16S ribosomal RNA". It matches the Rfam family "Bacterial small subunit ribosomal RNA", at positions 338 to 795 of the family's 1533-position model. The record is from RNAcentral.